GCCAGACUCCUACGGGAGGCAGCAGUGGGGGAUAUUGCACAAUGGGGGAAACCCUGAUGCAGCGACGCCGCGUGGGCGAGGAAGUAUUUCGGUAUGUAAAGCCCUAUCGGCAGGGAAGAAGAAAUGACGGUACCUGAAUAAGAAGCACCGGCUAAAUACGUGCCAGCAGCCGCGGGAAUACGUAGGGAGCAAGCGUUGUCCGGAAUUACUGGGCGUAAAGGGCGCGUAGGUGGGUGCUUAAGUCAGGUGUGAAAACUCUAGGCUCAACCUGGAGACUGCACUUGAAACUGGGUAUCUUGAGGGCAGGAGAGGAAAGUGGAAUUCCUAGUGUAGCGGUGAAAUGCGUAGAUAUUAGGAGGAACACCAGUGGCGAAGGCGACUUUCUGGACUGUACCUGACGCUGAGGCGCGAAAGCGUGGGUAGCGAACGGGAUUAGAUACCCCAGUAC
This 448-nucleotide ribosomal RNA is filed under the name uncultured bacterium. RNAcentral's name for it is "bacterial SSU rRNA". It matches the Rfam family "Bacterial small subunit ribosomal RNA", at positions 330 to 793 of the family's 1533-position model. The record is from RNAcentral.